Oncorhynchus tshawytscha (Chinook salmon) is the source of this 703-nucleotide long non-coding RNA. NCBI's taxonomy places the organism in Eukaryota, Metazoa, Chordata, Actinopteri, Salmoniformes, Salmonidae. The record is from Ensembl.
CUGUUCUCAUACGUGGUGUUAUUGUCUGUAUUGGUGAAUAAUGACAGGUCCAUCAGGUGCUCUCCGUAAUAAAGGGGCCUUCCUGUUCUCAUACGUGGUGUUAUUGUCUGUAUUGGUGAAUAAUGACAGGUCCAUCAGGUGCUCUCCGUAAUAAAGGGGCCUUCCUGUUCUUAUACGUGGUGUUAUUGUCUGUAUUGGUGAAUAAUGACAGGUCCAUCAGGUCCCUCAUGACACACAUUUGAAACGUGGAAAUGUACAGUGUAAUUUGAAAGUAAGUUGUUACCCAGAGAUGACUGAUUAACUGGCAAAACACAUGCUAUUAAAAACAGUUGAAAUACUAAGCAUAACAUAAAGCCUCCUACAACAGCUAUUGUGGAUUGUAGAUCUGAAAACAUGAAAUCGGUUUACAUGCCAAACAGCUUGGUGCCCCUGAUAGUUGUGUCACUGAGACGCCACAAUCUUCACAAUAAAUCUAAAACACUUCUUUCAAUAGCUUCGAAUAAUUUGGCAUCUUGGAACUGAGGCGAGGAGGAAUGAGGGUGGGAGGACUAGAGUCAACAGAACUGAGGAGGGGAGGACUAGAGUCAACAGAACUGAGGAGGGGAGGACUAGAGUCAACAGAACUGAGGAGGGGAGGACUAGAGGGAGGACUAGAGUCAACAGAACUGAGGAGGGGAGGACUAGAGUCAACAGAACUGAGGAG